Glycine soja is the source of this 314-nucleotide long non-coding RNA. RefSeq lists it as uncharacterized. NCBI's taxonomy places the organism in Eukaryota, Viridiplantae, Streptophyta, Magnoliopsida, Fabales, Fabaceae. The transcript has 2 exons. The record is from RefSeq and is a predicted model, not a curated record.
AGCAUUUCAUCAGCUUUUGGUUACAACAACAAUAGCGAAAUAACAGUCUUUCAUCUAACGAGGAGUAUAGACUUAUCAUAAAUUUCAGAAAGUAAAGGGGGGAGAAGAUCACAGUGGCUAUGGCAUGGAGCUGAAGGAGGUUGAUAAUUUCUGAUUGCAGCAGAAACACAGCAAAGAUACCAAUGAAAUUAAUCACAUCAAAAUCACCUCUACACAAAUAUAUAAUCCCAGCAGAAACAAAAUCUGUAGCUUUUAUAUUGUUUGCGCCCCUAAACAAGUUAGCUUAAAGUAGUUUAAAUAUUUUUCUGUCUUUA